AGAAACUUAGGCUAACUAACCAAACCAAGGGCCUUCAAAGCCCAAAAUAGAGAUGAAAACCCUCUAGUUUCUG
Molecule: transfer RNA, 73 nt
Filed under: Diplolaemus darwinii
Lineage: Eukaryota; Metazoa; Chordata; Lepidosauria; Squamata; Leiosauridae
Also listed under: 1 other name
Description: tRNA-Trp
Rfam family: tRNA
About the family: Transfer RNA (tRNA) molecules are approximately 80 nucleotides in length. Their secondary structure includes four short double-helical elements and three loops (D, anti-codon, and T loops). Further hydrogen bonds mediate the characteristic L-shaped molecular structure. tRNAs have two regions of fundamental functional importance: the anti-codon, which is responsible for specific mRNA codon recognition, and the 3' end, to which the tRNAs corresponding amino acid is attached (by aminoacyl-tRNA synthetases). tRNAs cope with the degeneracy of the genetic code in two manners: having more than one tRNA (with a specific anti-codon) for a particular amino acid; and 'wobble' base-pairing, i.e. permitting non-standard base-pairing at the 3rd anti-codon position.
Source: RNAcentral